Molecule: ribosomal RNA, 750 nt
Filed under: uncultured Dechloromonas sp.
Lineage: Bacteria; Pseudomonadati; Pseudomonadota; Betaproteobacteria; Rhodocyclales; Azonexaceae
Description: bacterial SSU rRNA
Rfam family: Bacterial small subunit ribosomal RNA
Source: RNAcentral
AUUGAACGCUGGCGGCAUGCCUUACACAUGCAAGUCGAACGGCAGCACGGACUUCGGUCUGGUGGCGAGUGGCGAACGGGUGAGUAAUGUAUCGGAACGUACCUUUCAGUGGGGGAUAACGUAGCGAAAGUUACGUUAAUACCGCAUAUUCUGUGAGCAGGAAAGCAGGGGAUCGCAAGACCUUGCGCUUAUUGAGCGGCCGAUAUCAGCUUAGCUAGUUGGUGGGGUAAAGGCCUACCAAGGCUACGAUCUGUAGCGGGUCUGAGAGGAUGAUCCGCCACACUGGAACUGAGACACGGUCCAGACUCCUACGGGAGGCAGCAGUGGGGAAUUUUGGACAAUGGGGGCAACCCUGAUCCAGCCAUGCCGCGUGAGUGAAGAAGGCCUUCGGGUUGUAAAGCCCUUUCGGCCGGGAAGAAAUCGCAUAGGUUAAUACCCUGUGUGGAUGACGGUACCGGAAUAAGAAGCACCGGCUAACUACGUGCCAGCAGCCGCGGUAAUACGUAGGGUGCGAGCGUUAAUCGGAAUUACUGGGCGUAAAGCGUGCGCAGGCGGUUUCGUAAGACAGAGGUGAAAUCCCCGGGCUCAACCUGGGAACUGCCUUUGUGACUGCGAGGCUAGAGUACGGCAGAGGGGGGUGGAAUUCCACGUGUAGCAGUGAAAUGCGUAGAGAUGUGGAGGAACACCGAUGGCGAAGGCAGCCCCCUGGGCCGAUACUGACGCUCAUGCACGAAAGCGUGGGUAGCAAAC